UUGAACGCUGGCGGUAUGCUUAACACAUGCAAGUCGAACGGAAACGAUACUAGCUUGCUAGUAGGCGUCGAGUGGCGGACGGGUGAGUAACGCGUAGGAAUCUGCCUGAUAGUGGGGGAUAGCCCGAAGAAAUUCGGAUUAAUACCGCAUAAUCUAUUCGUAGUAAAGUGGGGGACUUUCGAGCCUCACGCUAUCAGAUGAGCCUGCGUAAGAUUAGCUUGUUGGUAGGGUAAAAGCCUACCAAGGCGACGAUCUUUAGCUGGUCUGAGAGGAUGAUCAGCCACAUCGGGACUGAGACACGGCCCGAACUCCUACGGGAGGCAGCAGUGGGGAAUAUUGGACAAUGGGGGCAACCCUGAUCCAGCAAUACCGCGUGUGUGAAGAAGGCCUGAGGGUUGUAAAGCACUUUCAAUUGUGAAGAAAAGUUAGCGGUUAAUAACCGUUAGCCUUGACGUUAACUUUAGAAGAAGCACCGGCUAACUCCGUGCCAGCAGCCGCGGUAAUACGGAGGGUGCAAGCGUUAAUCGGAAUUACUGGGCGUAAAGCGUGCGUAGGCGGUUUAUUAAGUCAGAUGUGAAAGCCCCGGGCUUAACCUGGGAACUGCAUUUGAAACUGGUCAACUAGAGUAUGGUAGAGGAAAGUGGAAUUUCUGGUGUAGCGGUGAAAUGCGUAGAUAUCAGAAGGAACAUCAAUGGCGAAAGGCAGCUUUCUGGACCAAUACUGACGCUGAGGUACGAAAGCGUGGGUAGCAAACAGGAUUAGAUACCCUGGUAGUCCACGCCGUAAACGAUGAUAACUAGCCGUUGGGGGGAUUUACCCCUUAGUGGCGAAGCUAACGCGUUAAGUUAUCCGCCUGGGGAGUACGGCCGCAAGGUUAAAACUCAAAGGAAUUGACGGGGACCCGCACAAGCGGUGGAGCAUGUGGUUUAAUUCGAUGCAACGCGAAGAACCUUACCUGGUCUUGACAUCCUGCGAACUUUCUAGAAAUAGAUUGGUGCCUUCGGGAACGCAGUGACAGGUGCUGCAUGGCUGUCGUCAGCUCGUGUCGUGAGAUGUUGGGUUAAGUCCCGUAACGAGCGCAACCCCUAUCCUUAUUUGCCAGCACAUCAUGGUGGGAACUAUAAGGAGACUGCCGGUGAUAAACCGGAGGAAGGCGGGGACGACGUCAAGUCAUCAUGGCCCUUACGACCAGGGCUACACACGUGCUACAAUGGGAAGGACAAAGAGCCGCGAAGCCGCGAGGUGUAGCUAAUCUCAUAAACCUUUUCGUAGUCCGGAUUGGAGUCUGCAACUCGACUCCAUGAAGUCGGAAUCGCUAGUAAUCGUAGAUCAGAAUGCUACGGUGAAUACGUUCCCGGGUCUUGUACACACCGCC
RNAcentral lists this ribosomal RNA (1375 nucleotides) under uncultured bacterium. Its description in RNAcentral is "bacterial SSU rRNA". It matches the Rfam family "Bacterial small subunit ribosomal RNA", at positions 29 to 1394 of the family's 1533-position model. The record is from RNAcentral.